CUUGGCCCACACUCAGCUGAGGCUGUAAUUUCCGUCUGUUGAAGACAGUGCACACAUUGGAGCCGACCCGUCUGUUGGCAGCGUUACCCCUCAGAGGAGCAGCAGCACCCCAGAGAGCGCCUCCGGGCCUCCCCGCCCGCCGAGCCCGGCGCUGCUCGGCCGCGCACUGCGCGCCGGCCCUCACGGCUCUGAGGCCAGGCCUCUGCGGCCGGGGCAGCGCGGCGGGAGCGUCACCGCCCGGCGCCGUGAGGGGACGCAGAGACGGCCCGGCCUCGGCUCCCCGGCGCCGCUCCGCACGCCCACGGGCCGCUGUAGCCCGCACCGGGCCCGUGAGAGAAGCGACGAUGGCCGGUAGUGAUGGCCUGCACUGGGGCCCGGCCUGCAGAGUCGAUAUGUUUUGUAACUACGACAUGCGGGCCCGGGCCCUGCGGGGGGACGGGCGCCACCGGGUGGAUUGCCGAGGUACAGCCGCGAUUUGCCUCCGAGCGUCACCUGAGUCCUGCGCUGCGCCACGGAAUCACAGAAUAUUCUCUGCUGGAAGCGACCCGCAAGGAUCACAGACCCCUUACGCACUUACGUCUCAACAAUCUUUACAUUGGUCUCCUGUACCUAAGGAUUAGAAUUCGGCCUUUGAAAACAUGAUGGCCUUUUGCUGAGACCACUGUCCAUCCAAUGGAGAAAUACGCUUUCAUAGUCUCCUGUGCUGUUUAUUCACAACUUUGAAUGAUAUUGGGGUUUAAGACUAUCUUUGAUUGUCCCUCUAUAUUAGAGCAGCAGUUAUCUCAAAAAUAUCAUUUUUGAGUCAUUACAGUUUAUGUAUGCUUCAUGCUACAGAUAAUAUGAAAGAAAGUAUUAUGAAGGCAUUGGCUAAAACAUGAUGGAUCAUGUAGGAAGCAUCAAUAAGGCAAGAGAAAUAUGUUCAACAAAAAUCUGUAUGUCUUAGGGAAGAAAAUAUAAUAGAUCAGCAAAAGAAAAGUGUGAUGUCAAACAAUUUUUCCACCCGGAUUUUGGAUGAGGCCUUCAUUUAUGCCCAUUAACAUUCCAAAUAGGUCCUUAAUUUUUAAAUAAUGUCUUGGAUGUGAAAAUCUGUAUGUAAAAGUUAUCUUUUUAUCUAGAAGAACAGUUUGUUUCUGUGAAAAAAAACUAACUGUUCAUGUGUGAAUAGGUCUGAUUAUUAAUAGUAAAGGCAAUGGUGUUUUAAAAUAAAUAAUCCUGUUUCCUGGUUUCA
Molecule: long non-coding RNA, 1228 nt
Filed under: Junco hyemalis (dark-eyed junco)
Lineage: Eukaryota; Metazoa; Chordata; Aves; Passeriformes; Passerellidae
Description: lncRNA (ENSJHYG00000011185.1)
Source: RNAcentral